AAUCGAGGGUCAUAAAUCACUGAAAGGGAGCUCUCACACCCUGAGGAUGCCAUCUGCUUCCAAGUCGGAGGUGGAGGUGCGAGCGAGCGAGCGGGCCUGGAGGGGAAGGCAGAGCAGGAGGAGAGACGGAAGAAGCUCUGAGCGACAUCCGCCCUGGACCCAGUGUCUCUGAAACGGACCAGACCGGCCCAGACCGCAACCAGAAGACUGACGCGGGCACAGAUAGAGACUUGUCCUAAAGUAGCCUGCCCUCAUUGACAUUGUAAAUGCCCCUCUUCUGGGAGGGGUGAAGCAGCCGUUUUUAGAUCAUGCGAUGUAUGCAGAAGCCUGAUUUCAAACCACGCAUGUGCAAGCUUAUGCCUGCCUCUGCACGCGAUGAUGAGACUUCCCCUUUGAAUAUUCAUUCUCCGCCCCAAAUAAUAAAGACUCCCACCUCCCCGUGCCCGGGGUCUGAGCUUUGUGAAAUUAUUCCCUGUGGUCUCCGUUUUCCUUUGCUGCAUGCCGCAAAUAAAAAUUCUACGUUGUGAAACAACUACUUCUGGUGCAGCUGGAUUUAGCUCCCAAGAAGGGACCGACGUUUGGUCCGGACACGGAAGUGGUAAGACCAUCACGGCUUAACUCCAGGAGGGCAGGAAGUGGAUAUUUCUUAGGCCAUACAGAGCCUGCCAGUACAGUAGGUGUACACCCAAAGUGUGUGGAACGGACGAGUGAGUGAAUGAGACCGCAUGCCCCCCCGGGUGUGGCUGGACGGCCUAGGGGCUAACCACAUGUUAGCAAGGCCAAGCUUAUAUGCUUUGAUGAAGCAAACAGCUGUUCCGGAAAAGCCCACAUGGCAAGGAAUUGAGGCCUCAGUCCACCAACCCUCAAGGAACUCACUUGCGCCAACAAACACAGGAGCCUGGAAACAGACCCUUCCCCAGUCAAGCCUUCAGAUGAGACCCCAGCCCCAGCCGACAUGCCGAUUGCAGCCUCGUGACAGACACUGAAGCAGAGGAACCAGCUGAAAUGUGCUUGGAUUCCUGACCCACAGAAGCUGAGCAAUCAUAGUUGUGUGUGGUUUUAAGCCACUAAGUUUUUGGUGAUUUGUCUAUGCAGCAAAAGAUAACUUAUAUAAUAGAUUUAUAUGUAUAUAUAUAUAAAUCUCUUGUACAUACAGUCCUGAUGCCCUCCAUUAAUAGAAGCCAUUGUUUCUAACAUUAUUACUUUGAGUGGGAAGGAGAAAGCCACAGGUUGCCCUUCUCAACCCCUGUGUACUUUUUCUCUCCUGAUGACAAGGCCUCCUGAUCAUUUUGCUUUUCUGCAUUUUCCAAUUUGUCUACAAGGAACAUAGGUGCAUGCAACUUUUCAAAACUACAUUGACGAUAUCGGAAGUAAAGAAAGUCUGGCUGAACUGACUUUGGGAGCUAAAGUCCCAAUGCCCGAGUAUCUGAGGGGCCUUCCGUCUCUGCUUCUGCCUACCCACUUCUCCAUCAUCAGUCCUCCUACCUAGGGCUCCUGCCUCCUCCGGCCAUUUCCUGCUGUUGCUUCCUCCUGGAUCCCUAUUCUUGCCCUUCCUCUUCCGGUUCAUGCUGACUCAUCCUUGAGGUUCCAGGUUAGAGCUGCCUCCUCCAGGAAGUACCCCCGGCUUCCCCAGGUUGACAAGAUGCUUCUUCCAUGCUCCCACAGCGCCCUGCCUCAUCCCAGCACAUCUCCCAGUUCCCCCCACCAGAAACCCCACGUGUCUCCCCAAUGAUCUGCCCACAGGCCUUGCUCUGCAGGGAGCGGGAGCCCCAAACCCAGAGGCCUGACUUUACCUCUGAAUUUGGUCAUUCAUACGGUCAGCCAGAUACAGAGAUAACGUCCCAAGCAGAUGACAAUCAGCAAACAACUUUUAGCAUCUGCCCUGGUGCCAGGCUGUGCUGCCUGUGGUGCGCUGUGAAUUAAUAUUUAAAACGAAUCCUUUCAUUUUCUUAUGACCCAUCUACUUAUAUUGCCCUAUUGUGGGUAAGUAUUAAAUGGAGCUUCACUAGUUCAUUGCAAGCAUUAAAAAUAUA
Molecule: long non-coding RNA, 2033 nt
Organism: Equus caballus (horse)
Lineage: Eukaryota; Metazoa; Chordata; Mammalia; Perissodactyla; Equidae
Source: RefSeq, a predicted model, not a curated record